Molecule: ribosomal RNA, 569 nt
Filed under: Sardinella brasiliensis (Brazilian sardine)
Lineage: Eukaryota; Metazoa; Chordata; Actinopteri; Clupeiformes; Clupeidae
Description: partial 16S ribosomal RNA
Rfam family: Bacterial large subunit ribosomal RNA
Source: RNAcentral
AUAGGAGGUCCCGCCUGCCCUGUGACCAAAAGUUUAACGGCCGCGGUAUUUUAACCGUGCAAAGGUAGCGCAAUCAAUUGUCUUUUAAAUGAAGACCUGUAUGAAUGGCAUAACGAGGGUUUAACUGUCUCUUUUUUCAGGUCAAUGAAACUGAUCUGUCCGUGCAGAAGCGGACAUAUUAACACAAGACGAGAAGACCCUAUGGAGCUUUAGACGCCCACCAACCGCGAAAAGCAGCCUACCUAAACAGAUGCUCUAAACAACGCGGUCCUGGUACAAACGUCUUCGGUUGGGGCGACCGCGGAGGAGAACAAAGCCUCCGAGAGGAAUGGGAACAAACCCUAAAACCAAGAGCCACAGCUCUAAGUCACAAAAAAUUUGACCGACAAUGAUCCGGCUUACUGCCGAUCAACGGACCAAGUUACCCUAGGGAUAACAGCGCAAUCCCCUCCCAGAGUCCAUAUCGACGAGGGGGUUUACGACCUCGAUGUUGGAUCAGGACAUCCUAAUGGUGCAGCCGCUAUUAAGGGUUCGUUUGUUCAACGAUUAAAGUCCUACGUGAUCUGAGU